Molecule: ribosomal RNA, 170 nt
Filed under: uncultured bacterium
Lineage: Bacteria
Description: partial 16S ribosomal RNA
Rfam family: Bacterial small subunit ribosomal RNA
Source: RNAcentral
AAGCUGGAUUCGCUAGUAAUCGCGCAUCAGCCAUGGCGCGGUGAAUACGUUCCCGGGCCUUGUACACACCGCCCGUCAAGCCAUGGGAGCCGGGAGCGCUUGAAGUGCGUCGCCGCGAGGCGCGCCCUAGAGCGAGACCGGUGACUGGGGCUAAGUCGUAACAAGGUAGC